Molecule: non-coding RNA, 413 nt
Organism: Chiloscyllium plagiosum (whitespotted bambooshark)
Lineage: Eukaryota; Metazoa; Chordata; Chondrichthyes; Orectolobiformes; Hemiscylliidae
Source: RefSeq, a predicted model, not a curated record
AGGUCCCAGAGGCUGGGGAUUCCUCAUGGAGCACAGUGAAGGAAAAAACAAGCAUCAGAUCCACUAAUGAAGCAGUUAUGGAGAUGCAAAUAGCCUGAGAACGGAUCUACUUGUCGGUUAUUCUACCGGAGAACUGGAAUAUUGAAUGCAGUGAAAGAUCAUAAUGAGAGUUCUCAGCCUUUGUCUGGUCUGAUCAAUUGGUUGCAGGUUGUGCCCAUUGCUGGGUUAUCUGUUGGUUCUUGGGUCAUACACGUGAAGGCAUUGACUCUUUUCUGCAAAGCUGCCAGUUGGCAAUGAAUUGGAAAGCCAUCCUACAUCUCUAUCAGAUCAACCUCUCGGUCCUCUUUUGCUGAAUUCUGAACUGUUCCCAGCCUUCAGACUUGGUGCUAUAAUCAAACAACUUUAUAUGACUC